Molecule: ribosomal RNA, 253 nt
Filed under: uncultured bacterium
Lineage: Bacteria
Description: partial 16S ribosomal RNA
Rfam family: Bacterial small subunit ribosomal RNA
Source: RNAcentral
UACGGGGGGGGCAAGCGUUGUUCGGAACUACUGGGCGUAAAGGGCUCGUAGGCGGCCAACUAAGUCAGACGUGAAAUCCCCAGGCUUAACCUGGGAACUGCGUCUGAUACUGGAUGGCUUGAAUUCGGGAGAGGGAUGCAGAAUUCCAGGUGUAGCGGUGAAAUGCGUAGAUAUCUGGAGGAAUACCGGUGGCGAAGGCGGCAUCCUGGACUGGUCCUGACACUCAGGAGCGAAAGCGUGGGGAGCGAUCCGG